GACGAACGCUGGCGGCGUGCUUAACACAUGCAAGUCGAACGGAAAGGCCCUGCUUUUGUGGGGUGCUCGAGUGGCGAACGGGUGAGUAACACGUGAGUAACCUGCCCUUGACUUUGGGAUAACUUCAGGAAACUGGGGCUAAUACCGGAUAGGAGCUCCUGCUGCAUGGUGGGGGUUGGAAAGUUUCGGCGGUUGGGGAUGGACUGGCGGCUUAUCAGUUUGUUGGUGGGGUAGUGGCUUACCAAGGGUUUGACGGGUAGCCGGCCUGAGAGGGUGACCGGCCACAAUGGGACUGAGAGACGGCGCAGAAUCCAACGGGAGGCAGCAGUGGGGAGUAUUGCACAAUGGGCGGAAGCCUGAUGCGGCAACGCCGCGUGCGGGAUGACGGGCUUCGGGUUGUAAACCGAUUUCGACUGUGACGAAGCGUGAGUGACGGUAAUGGGUAAAGAAGCACCGGCUAACUACGUG
This 468-nucleotide ribosomal RNA is filed under the name uncultured bacterium. RNAcentral describes it as "partial 16S ribosomal RNA". It matches the Rfam family "Bacterial small subunit ribosomal RNA", at positions 28 to 507 of the family's 1533-position model. The record is from RNAcentral.